GGACGGGUGAAGUAACGCGUGGGUAACCUACCUUUAUACAGGGGGAUAGCAGUUGGAAACGACUGAUAAUACCGCAUAAGCGCACAGCUUCGCAUGAAGCAGUGUGAAAAGCCGAGACGGUAUAAGAUGGACCCGCGUCUGAUUAGCUAGUUGGUGAGAUAACAGCCCACCAAGGCAACGAUCAGUAGCCGACCUGAGAGGGUGACCGGCCACAUUGGGACUGAGACACGGCCCAAACUCCUACGGGAGGCAGCAGUGGGGAAUAUUGCACAAUGGGCGAAAGCCUGAUGCAGCGACGCCGCGUGAACGAAGAAGUAUUUCGGUAUGUAAAGUUCUAUCAGCAGGGAAGAAAAAUGACGGUACCUGACUAAGAAGCACCGGCUAAAUACGUGCCAGCAGCCGCGGUAAUACGUAUGGUGCAAGCCGUUAUCCGGAUUUACUGGGUGUAAAGGGAGCGCAGGCGGUACGGCAAGUCUGAUGUGAAAGCCCGGGGCUCAACCCCGGUACUGCAUUGGAAACUGUCGAACUAGAGUGUCGGAGGGGUAAGUGGAAUUCCUAGUGUAGCGGUGAAAUGCGUAGAUAUUAGGAGGAACACCAGUGGCGAAGGCGGCUUACUGGACGAUAACUGACGCUGAGGCUCGAAAGCGUGGGGAGCAAACAGGAUUAGAUACCCUGGUAGUCCACGCCCUAAACGAUGAAUACUAGGUGU
Molecule: ribosomal RNA, 709 nt
Filed under: uncultured bacterium
Lineage: Bacteria
Description: bacterial SSU rRNA
Rfam family: Bacterial small subunit ribosomal RNA
Source: RNAcentral